CCACCUGCUGCAUACUGAUUUGUUGUGUUUAUACUAUUUAUCUCAUGUUUGUUCAGGGAAUAUUUUUUUGUCAGAGAUGCCCCUAAAUGAACAAAUACACUGGUUUCUUUCAAUAGCACAAGCUUUCAGAUUUGAGAUGUGAAGUAAACUGCGAUUUGUCGGCGACUUGCAUGCUGCGUAUGUAGGAUGAGAAUCUCAUCUCGUUCUUAGCUAAUUGGUAUAUGUUGUGUUUGUUCCACAUGUACCUGAGGUUUCAAAGGCUGUUUCUGAGCAUAGACUUGCAUAAAGGUGUCAUCAAGAACUAAGAAAACUAGUGCAAAUACAGAUGAUUGAUCCAUUAGCUGCUCACGAAUGUUGUGCAGGGGAGGCUAUGGAAAAAUAAAUCUUUGCCUUCUUGGCUAAAACAGGAAAAUUCGUGCAGAAAAUUUUGCCUGAUCUUAUAUUGAGAUGCAAAUGAUACUAAGAGGGUUUCUCACUUUAAAAAAAAUAAGUUAUAUCUUGUCAACUUGAGACAAUUGAUGCGGAGAAUGACUGCACGAGAUAGUAACGUUGUUCUGUUGAGUUCGCAUUCUUUUACGCUCAUUUCUAGUCUUCCUGCUGAAAGAUCUAUCCUUGUUUGUGGCUACGGCGAGGUGGAUAAAGAGCUCUGAGCACGACAUUUACGGAGGUAGUGCGAAACACCACCAAUGCUUCGUGCCUGGUCCCUGCAAUUGUGCAUUAAGUUCCCUGAAUCCCUUCAGGUUCCUAUUCUAGAACUGCGUUUUGCAUUCAUUGAAAAUGCUUGUAUUGCAGUUCAGUAUGAUCCUAGCUAUAGAUUUUCUCUGGAAGACCUAAGGUUGUUUGGUCAUUCAUGCUUUUGUUCAUUCUUGUAUUGCAUAAUCUCUUCAGCUUGCAAGUUGCGGUAAGUGCCAUAGUAGUGGAGUAUUGAUGAAAUGUAGAAGUUACGUAGAUGUUGUGCAGUUUGAUUUCCAACACAUCUAUUGCCAAUUGAAUUAUGUGCGGUUGAUGGAUUUGUGCAAUUCCACUGCUGAAUGUGCGAGCAAACAACAUUAGUUCUACAAUGCUCCAAAUUGUGCUUUAGCUGUCAAGACAUUUGAAGAGUCACGAUUGGUCGCAAAGGGUUUUGAAAACUGCCUGGACUCGGUGAGGAUAUUAUUUGAAAACCUGUUUACACUUCUAAAUGGCGUCUUAGGUUGCACAAUUAUGCAAGGCAGUGGUCAAUAGCUUUUCUUUACGUUUCAAUCGUUUUGGUGUUACUAUGUAGUGUCAAAAUUUGGCCACCUUUACACUACUUAACGCGGUAACAUAUUAGUGUGCGUCCACUGCAGCUUUGUCCUAACGGAAAUGUAGUCUGCAGGAGAAGGAAAGUGUAAUGACGACUUGUUGCAUCGACUUUCUAAAUCGUACCAUGUUCACUCAGAAUGACCAUUCUGAACUUUCCAACUCUCUGUCUCUACGAAGUGUGCUAGACAAAGUUGCACGGGUGUGGAGGCAUGCAAGUUAGCGAUGAAAAGUAGCUAUGUGCGACAAAAUUGAAUUUUAGACCAACUCCUUCGUGCAGGGGUUAUCAUUUAUGAAAAGCGAGAACACCACAGAAUUUCAGCUGGCUGUCAAAUCAAUGGCACUGUCUGUGUAAAGCAUGCUGCGACGAAAAGCACCUCUUGCCAGUGGCUUCUGUUCCUUGUCAGGGGCGUGACACUUACGACUCUUGUAUGUGAUAGAAGAUAUGGUAUCUAAGAGAAUAAAACUUUGAAGUUGUGCUUCAUCGUUUGCACGUGUGCUGAUGUCGUUAAUCUGAU
Molecule: long non-coding RNA, 1799 nt
Filed under: Physcomitrium patens
Lineage: Eukaryota; Viridiplantae; Streptophyta; Bryopsida; Funariales; Funariaceae
Description: long non-coding RNA (PPAT_LNC002508)
Source: RNAcentral